UCGACUAUUGCCUGCCCCUCAAGCUAAGUUUGCUCCCUCCGAUCUCCUGUGUAUGACCUCUGCCUGGAUAACCGUCUUAGUCUCUUCCUGGAUUCUCUGCUCCACCCGUCCAUUGCACUACAGUGCUGUGUUGGAUGACCACAUCCUGAGCCGCACCAAUAGCUGAAAAUUUAAUUAAACCUUUUUCCUUUGCAA
This is a long non-coding RNA of Xiphophorus maculatus (southern platyfish), 195 nucleotides long. RefSeq lists it as uncharacterized. Lineage: Eukaryota; Metazoa; Chordata; Actinopteri; Cyprinodontiformes; Poeciliidae. The transcript has 2 exons. The record is from RefSeq and is a predicted model, not a curated record.